Astatotilapia calliptera (eastern happy) is the source of this 903-nucleotide long non-coding RNA. Lineage: Eukaryota; Metazoa; Chordata; Actinopteri; Cichliformes; Cichlidae. The record is from Ensembl.
GAAAAAAGCAAUUACUGCCCUUGCGGUUUCAAGGCGGCCCCGUGCUGAACGAUGAAAGGAGAUAAGGAGGGGCGGUUUCAAGGCGCCCCCCACGGCGAACCCCGUUGGCCCCAGAGCAAAAGGAGAGUCAAGAGUGACUAAAUCAAAGGGAAUACGGUUAAAAACAACAACAAAAAAAGAAAAUGGAGGCGAGGACGGCAACAAGAACCGGAAAGCAACUAUUUCUCUACCGAGAGGGAGCUCUUCUUCUUUCUUUUAUGGUGGAAGAAAAGUUUUGUCUACAAAGGAGACAGCGGGAAGACGGCCGAAUCAGCAUCACGCGGCCUGGCGUGGCCGGCCUCGAGAGUCAUGUGAUCUCCGGGGUGGCUGUUGCCUGGGAGAAGAAAAGGCAAGUUUGUGUCAAAAUCCAUUUUUGGUCCAGCUGGAAGGUCACAGGUCAUCUCAACUCUGAUGUAAUCAGAGUAAAACUUUUUGGCCUCCGGUCUGAGCGAAAUAUCUCUCUUCAAAGACUGACCGUGACUUUGAUUAAAGAUGCACAGAUGUGGCUAGCAAAACCAAACAUCAACAGAAUAUGAGAGACUUCAGCCAAACAUGUCCGGGAGCUGGACGUUAACAGAUAGACACGUCAUGUAGACUUCUCAUGUGCAUUUCUUCCUCGAGCUGAUGUUCCCAGUCUCGGGAAGGUUGGGAUGGUGAGGGGGGAGACCUGCCGGUGAGCACGGUUGCAGGAUUUCUUUAGUGGAGAAAAGGAGUGUGUGUGCAAUUCAAAAAAAAAAAAAGAAGAAGAAGCACAGUGACGCUUUAUUUAAUUGGUUGCCGACCACCUGGAGUUUCAACAUUUCCCCUGGCUGAUUUCAGACUCCCUCACACCAAUGUGACGUCUAUGGCUGAAGAAAAGACAGA